Long non-coding RNA from Oncorhynchus keta (chum salmon), 223 nucleotides. RefSeq lists it as uncharacterized. Lineage: Eukaryota; Metazoa; Chordata; Actinopteri; Salmoniformes; Salmonidae. The record is from RefSeq and is a predicted model, not a curated record. The transcript is spliced from 3 exons.
UACAGCAGGGCGUCCCCUGAACGGUAACGUUAGGUGAGGAGGUUACAGCAGGGCGUCCCCUGAACGGUAACGUUAGGUGAGGAGGUUACAGCAGGGCGUCCCCUGAACGGUAACGUUAGGUGAGGAGGUUACAGCAGGGCGUCCCCUGAACGGUAACGUUAGGUGAGGAGGUUACAGCAGGGCGUCCCCUGAACGGUAACGUUAGGUGAGGAGGUUACAGCAG